Sphingobacteriales bacterium 50-39 is the source of this 173-nucleotide non-coding RNA. The record is from Rfam. NCBI's taxonomy places the organism in Bacteria, Pseudomonadati, Bacteroidota, Sphingobacteriia, Sphingobacteriales.
UCCAUCGUGAGGUGGAAUCUGAAAGAAGCCGGCGGCAAACUCCCGGUCCGACGAACAGAAACCGCAUAGAAGGCAGGUUGAGGGGGACGAGACUGCAUUACAAGUCAAAGUCCGAAACUAUCGGAGCCGACACCGAGUAAAUGCGGCGGAUAGAUGGGAGGAAGGUCUAUGAC